CUACGGGCGGCUGCAGUGGGGAAUAUUGCACAAUGGAGGGAACUCUGAUGCAGCAACGCCGCGUGAAGGAUGACACAUUUCGGUGCGUAAACUCCUUUUAUAUAAGAAGAUAAUGACGGUAUUAUAUGAAUAAGCACCGGCUAACUCCGUGCCAGCAGCCGCGGUAAUACGGGGGGUGCAAGCGUUACUCGGAAUCACUGGGCGUAAAGAGCAUGUAGGCUGGUUUGUAAGUUGGAAGUGAAAUCCUAUGGCUUAACCAUAGAACUGCUUCCAAAACUACUUACCUAGAGUAUGGGAGAGGUAGAUGGAAUUUCUGGUGUAGGGGUAAAAUCCGUAGAGAUCAGAAGGAAUACCGAUUGCGAAGGCGAUCUACUGGAACAUUACUGACGCUCAGAUGCGAAAGCGUGGGGAGCAAACAGGAUUAGAUACCCGAGUAGUC
This 439-nucleotide ribosomal RNA is filed under the name uncultured bacterium. RNAcentral describes it as "partial 16S ribosomal RNA". It matches the Rfam family "Bacterial small subunit ribosomal RNA", at positions 339 to 795 of the family's 1533-position model. The record is from RNAcentral.